UGUGUAAGGAGAUGUCGAGUUUUUUUGUUGUUCGUUUUGUAUCUUGAUGUGCUUUGAGCUGUGAGCAUCCUUGAAUCACCAAGGCAUCUAUACUAAAAAUUUGAAAGACAUGAACUGCCUGAAUUAAACUGCUCUAUUGAACAGAAAAGAGCAACCUUCUAUUUUUACUUUUUAGGUUCAGUGCUUUUUAUUUUUUCAUCAUUAGCAGAAUUACAUUAUAUUCUCUUGCAUUGUGCAAACCAUAUAUUUAUUCUGAAUUAAGACAAUUCACUUGCUAGCUGAUGAAUGAUUCGUUUCAUGAGAGCUAAUUAGCUGUACAUACAUGAAGCAUAUAAACAUUAUUAGUACACCAUAUGGUUUUUCUCUGUUCGUUCAUGUCCACCGCCCAUGAAGCAUAACUAAAUAUAUACUAAUAAAUGCCUGAAAGCUCCUGCUAGCUCAUAACCUGAUUAAUCAAGAUAAUCUCAACGAUUAGAUGUGCAGCUUGUUGAUAGUCUCAAAGUAGAUGCUUAUUUGUUUACUUCUGGCCCUCCUCUUUUGUUCUAAAAUAAUUCAGUAUGCAAAGAUGUGAGAAGAGAACCUUGAAUAUCAAUUUUGCAGAACAUGUAAGUUAAUAAUAUAUACCCUGUUUACCUUUGUAUCCAUAGUAGAACCCCAAAGUCUCAAUACGACUAUAUCUGUUUUCAGGGUAACGUUUGAGAGAAGCAUGUCACAGAUCUUCAGUUGGUAGAUUUUCUCCAGUAUGGCCCACAAAAUAACAAGGGGAAGAAUGGGAAGGCCUUUGCUGCAACAAAUUAAGGAGGGUAGAAUGUUGAAUUGGAAUGUGCUACUGAAGAUCCUCUUUGCACCCUUCAAAAAGCAUUCGAGAAGGAAUACAAGAUCCAUGGUACUUGCAAAGUGUCAGCUAAUGGUGUACUUACAGGGUAUGUGCUUUGCUACAAGCUGCGCAGCAUCGGGCUCAAAGCUAGAAAAACUGAUAGUUUCCUUGGCAAACUCAAAGAUUAUCU
Lolium rigidum is the source of this 1007-nucleotide long non-coding RNA. RefSeq lists it as uncharacterized. The record is from RefSeq and is a predicted model, not a curated record. Lineage: Eukaryota; Viridiplantae; Streptophyta; Magnoliopsida; Poales; Poaceae. The transcript is spliced from 3 exons.